This 450-nucleotide ribosomal RNA is filed under the name uncultured bacterium. Its description in RNAcentral is "partial 16S ribosomal RNA". It matches the Rfam family "Bacterial small subunit ribosomal RNA", at positions 354 to 796 of the family's 1533-position model. The record is from RNAcentral.
GUGGGGAAUAUUGGACAAUGGGCGAAAGCCUGAUCCAGCCAUGCCGCGUGUGUGAAGAAGGUCUUCGGAUUGUAAAGCACUUUAAGUUGGGAGGAAGGGCAGUAAGCUAAUACCUUGCUGUUUUGACGUUACCGACAGAAUAAGCACCGGCUAACUUCGUGCCAGCAGCCGCGGUAAUACGAAGGGUGCAAGCGUUAAUCGGAAUUACUGGGCGUAAAGCGCGCGUAGGUGGUUCAGCAAGUUGGAGGUGAAAUCCCCGGGCUCAACCUGGGAACUGCCUCCAAAACUACUGAGCUAGAGUACGGUAGAGGGUAGUGGAAUUUCCUGUGUAGCGGUGAAAUGCGUAGAUAUAGGAAGGAACACCAGUGGCGAAGGCGGCUCACUGGUCCGGUACUGACGCUGAGGUGCGAAAGCGUGGGGAGCAAACAGGAUUAGAAACCCUUGUAGUCC